AUCUCAUUUUUAUGAACAGGAUUGUGCACGUAUUUGGGUAUGCUGUUUUUGAAAAAUUCGAAUUACGGGCANGAGCUUGCUCCUACUCCGCCACGGGUUGAUCCGGUAUUGCAGUACCACCGGAAACAGCCCAAUAUCC
This is a non-coding RNA of Cinara cedri, 139 nucleotides long. NCBI's taxonomy places the organism in Eukaryota, Metazoa, Arthropoda, Insecta, Hemiptera, Aphididae. The record is from the annotation of a GenBank genome assembly.